This 62-nucleotide transfer RNA is filed under the name Thoradonta nodulosa. Its description in RNAcentral is "tRNA-Phe". Lineage: Eukaryota; Metazoa; Arthropoda; Insecta; Orthoptera; Tetrigidae. The record is from RNAcentral.
AUUAAGUAGUUCAAUGAAUAUUGUGCUGAAGAUACAAAGGAAAAUUUUUAAUUUCUUAAAUA